Molecule: ribosomal RNA, 406 nt
Filed under: uncultured bacterium
Lineage: Bacteria
Description: partial 16S ribosomal RNA
Rfam family: Bacterial small subunit ribosomal RNA
Source: RNAcentral
AUUGAACGCUGGCGGCAGACCUAACACAUGCAAGUCGAACGAGUGGAGGAAGGGUGAGUAAUGUCUGGGAAACUGCCUGAUGGAGGGGGAUACCUACUGGAAAAGGUAGCUAAUACCGCAUACCAUCGGAUGUGCCCAGAUAGGAUUAGCUAGUAGGUGGGGUAAAGGCUCACCUAGGCGACGAUCCCUAGAUGGACUGAGAGGAUCACCGGCCACACUGGAACUGUGACACGGUCCAGACUCCUACGGGAGGCAGCAGUGGGGAAUAGUGCACAAUGGGCGCAAGCCUGAUGCAGCCAUGCCGCGGGUAUGAAGAAGGACUUCGGGUUGUAAAGUACUUUCAGCGGUGAGGCGUUACCCGCAGAAGAAGCACCGGCUAACUCCGUGCCAGCAGCCGCGGUAAUAU